GGCUCAGCGGCCGAGUGGCUAAGGCAUCCGACCUGUUAUCUGGAGACCCAGGUUCAAUGCCUGGCUAAGUCA
RNAcentral lists this transfer RNA (72 nucleotides) under Acropora cervicornis. RNAcentral describes it as "tRNA-Thr". It matches the Rfam family "tRNA". Rfam says of the family: Transfer RNA (tRNA) molecules are approximately 80 nucleotides in length. Their secondary structure includes four short double-helical elements and three loops (D, anti-codon, and T loops). The record is from RNAcentral. Lineage: Eukaryota; Metazoa; Cnidaria; Anthozoa; Scleractinia; Acroporidae.